GAUGAACGCUGGCGGCGUGCCUAAUACAUGCAAGUCGAGCGAACGGACGAGAAGCUUGCUUCUCUGAUGUUAGCGGCGGACGGGUGAGUAACACGUGAGUAACCUGCCCUUGACUUUGGGAUAACUUCAGGAAACUGGGGCUAAUACCGGAUAGGAGCUCCUGCUGCAUGGUGGGGGUUGGAAAGUUUCGGCGGUUGGGGAUGGACUCGCGGCUUAUCAGCUUGUUGGUGGGGUAGUGGCUUACCAAGGCUUUGACGGGUAGCCGGCCUGAGAGGGUGACCGGCCACAUUGGGACUGAGAUACGGCCCAGACUCCUACGGGAGGCAGCAGUGGGGAAUAUUGCACAAUGGGCGGAAGCCUGAUGCAGCAACGCCGCGUGCGGGAUGACGGCCUUCGGGUUGUAAACCGCUUUCGCCUGUGACGAAGCGUGAGUGACGGUAAUGGGUAAAGAAGCACCGGCUAACUACGUGCCAGCAGCCGCGGUGAUACGUAGGGUGCGAGCGUUGUCCGGAUUUAUUGGGCGUAAAGGGCUCGUAGGUGGUUGAUCGCGUCGGAAGUGUAAUCUUGGGGCUUAACCCUGAGCGUGCUUUCGAUACGGGUUGACUUGAGGAAGGUAGGGGAGAAUGGAAUUCCUGGUGGAGCGGUGGAAUGCGCAGAUAUCAGGAGGAACACCAGUGGCGAAGGCGGUUCUCUGGGCCUUUCCUGACGCUGAGGAGCGAAAGCGUGGGGAGCGAACAGGCUUAGAUACCCUGGUAGUCCACGCUGUAAACGGUGGGUACUAGGUGUGGGGUCCAUUCCACGGGUUCCGUGCCGUAGCUAACGCUUUAAGUACCCCGCCUGGGGAGUACGGCCGCAAGGCUAAAACUCAAAGGAAUUGACGGGGCCCCGCACAAGCGGCGGAGCAUGCGGAUUAAUUCGAUGCAACGCGUAGAACCUUACCUGGGUUUGACAUGGAUCGGGAGUGCUCAGAGAUGGGUGUGCCUCUUUUGGGGUCGGUUCACAGGUGGUGCAUGGCUGUCGUCAGCUCGUGUCGUGAGAUGUUGGGUUAAGUCCCGCAACGAGCGCAACCCUUGUUCACUGUUGCCAGCACGUUAUGGUGGGGACUCAGUGGAGACCGCCGGGGUCAACUCGGAGGAAGGUGGGGAUGACGUCAAGUCAUCAUGCCCCUUAUGUCCAGGGCUUCACGCAUGCUACAAUGGCUGGUACAGAGAGUGGCGAGCCUGUGAGGGUGAGCGAAUCUCGGAAAGCCGGUCUCAGUUCGGAUUGGGGUCUGCAACUCGACCUCAUGAAGUCGGAGUCGCUAGUAAUCGCAGAUCAGCAACGCUGCGGUGAAUACGUUCCCGGGGCU
RNAcentral lists this ribosomal RNA (1348 nucleotides) under uncultured bacterium. Its description in RNAcentral is "bacterial SSU rRNA". It matches the Rfam family "Bacterial small subunit ribosomal RNA", at positions 28 to 1381 of the family's 1533-position model. The record is from RNAcentral.